UACGUAGGGUGCAAGCGUUGUCCGGAUUUAUUGGGCGUAAAGAGCUCGUAGGCGGCUUAGAAAGUCAGGUGUGAAAACUCUGGGCUCAACCCAGAGACGCCACUUGAUACUUCUAUGGCUUGAGUUCGGUAGGGGACCAUGGAAUUCCUGGUGUAGCGGUGGAAUGCGCAGAUAUCAGGAGGAACACCGAUGGCGAAGGCAGAUCUCUGGGCCGUAACUGACGCUGAGGAGCGAAAGCGUGGGGAGCGAACAGG
Molecule: ribosomal RNA, 254 nt
Filed under: uncultured bacterium
Lineage: Bacteria
Description: partial 16S ribosomal RNA
Rfam family: Bacterial small subunit ribosomal RNA
Source: RNAcentral